Molecule: ribosomal RNA, 503 nt
Filed under: uncultured bacterium
Lineage: Bacteria
Description: partial 16S ribosomal RNA
Rfam family: Bacterial small subunit ribosomal RNA
Source: RNAcentral
AUUGAACGCUGGCGGCAGGCUUAACACAUGCAAGUCGAGCGGGGUGAUGGUGCUUGCACUAUCACUUAGCGGCGGACGGGUGAGUAAUGCUUAGGAAUCUGCCUAUUAGUGGGGGACAACAUCUCGAAAGGGAUGCUAAUACCGCAUACGUCCUACGGGAGAAAGCAGGGGAUCACUUGUGACCUUGCGCUAAUAGAUGAGCCUAGGUCGGAUUAGCUAGUUGGUGGGGUAAAGGCCUACCAAGGCGACGAUCUGUAGCGGGUCUGAGAGGAGGAUCCGCCACACUGGGACUGAGACACGGCCCGGACUCCUACGGGAGGCAGCAGUGGGGAAUAUUGGACAAUGGGGGGAACCCUGAUCCAGCCAUGCCGCGUGUGUGAAGAAGGCCUUAUGGUUGUAAGGCAUUUUAAGCGAGGAGGAGGCUCUUUUGGUUAAUACCCAAGAUGAGUGGACGUUACUCGCAGAAUAAGCACCGGCUAACUCUGUGCCAGCCGCCGCAGUAA